CCUACGGGAGGCAGCAGUGAGGAAUAUUGCGCAAUGGGGGCAACCCUGACGCAGUGACGCCGCGUGAGUGAUGAAGGCUUUCGAGUCGUAAAGCUCUGUUAGGUGGAAAGAAACAUCCCGGCGCUAAUAUCGUCGGGACUUGACGGUACCACCAGAGGAAGCACCGGCUAACUCCGUGCCAGCAGCCGCGGUAAUACGGAGGGUGCAAGCGUUGUUCGGAUUUACUGGGCGUAAAGGGCGUGUAGGCGGUUGGUUAAGUCAGAUGUGAAAUCCCUUAGCUUAACUAAGGAACGGCAUUUGAAACUAGCCAACUGGAGUACAGGAGAGGAAAGUGGAAUUCCCAGUGUAGAGGUGAAAUUCAUAGAUAUUGGGAGGAACACCGGUAGCGAAGGCGGCUUUCUGGCCUGAUACUGACGCUGAGACGCGAAAGCGUGGGUAGCAAACAGGAUUAGAUACCCUGGUAGUCCACGCCGUAAACGAUGGGAACUAGGUGUAGGAAGUGUUGACCCUUUCUGUGCCGAAGCUAACGCAUUAAGUUCCCCGCCUGGGGAGUACGGUCGCAAGGCUAAAACUUAAAGGAAUUGACGG
RNAcentral lists this ribosomal RNA (588 nucleotides) under uncultured bacterium. Its description in RNAcentral is "bacterial SSU rRNA". It matches the Rfam family "Bacterial small subunit ribosomal RNA", at positions 338 to 916 of the family's 1533-position model. The record is from RNAcentral.